UUGUGGUCGUAAAGUGAAAGAUCAUUGGAGAAAGUUUUUUCUCGCUAUCAAUCGUCUAAGCAAUGUCGUCCUUUGCGGCGACUUUAACGCGCACCACUCCAUGUGGGACACCCUUGACUCCUGUGAUGAGGACACUGAGGGCAGGGCUAUUGCCGAUGCCUCGAUCAUGUCGGACUUGGUCUGUCUUGCUCGGGACUUUUACACCUGGUACUCUGCCGACAGAUCCAAAGCCAGUAUCAUUGAUCUGACUUUUAUUUCACCAGAUCUUGUUGACUGCACUUCCUGCUGCCCGAUCACCGACUUUCCUGGGUAGGACUAUACUCCUAUUAUUGUCAGCCUGUGUGGAGUUCACCCUCGGAGACCCACAUGCCGCCCUCGCAUCGUGCUGGGAAAGGUGGAUUGGAGAAGAUUUCGUCUUUCCAUGGAAGAGCACCCUGAAACCUCAUUCAAAGGCGUAAAUGAUGCGUACAGCAGCUUUGUUGACAGGCUACUCGCAUGCAUCGGAUCGUCCGGUGGCUAGAUUCGCAGACACAGUUAUCCUACCACACGUGCGCCCACUAUAUGGUGGAAUCAGGAAUGCUCCGAUCUAAUGAGGGAUAGGAGAGAAUGUUUUAAACAAUUUGUAAGCAGGCCGAACAUACACAAUCUUCAAAUGUACAACUCAUCGGUCAGGAACUCGCGAAAGCGCAUGAAGCAGAUCAAGUUGCAGAGUUUUAAAAAAUUCUACGCAAGUAUGAACCUACAAACCUGCAAUUCGCAGAUGUGGAAUACGCUCAGAGUCUUUACCGGCAAGGUGCGUUGUCCUCGCGAGGAAUCCGAGGAGGCUGUGGUAGCGGCCGGCGUCGCUUUCAAUAAGGCGGUACCGCCAACUGGCGGAGGAUCUGCGGCACAGCCCGAGACUCCGUUCCCGCAUGAGAGGUACGUCAUCCCUCUCUCCGUUCAGCCCGCUUCUCACCUUCCUCCUGAUUGCUCCUACCUCACCCGAGAUCUUUUAUCUGCGCAGGACCUUCUUCGACCUUUCUCCCAACACGAGUUAUUCCUUGCUAUUGGUUCCGUCAAGUUAACUGGGACGGCGGGACCGGAUCUCAUGUGUAACAAAAUCAUUGUAAACUUACCGGAUUCGGCAAAAAGGCAACUUCUUCAAAUAUUUAAUUGGAUGUACAAUGAAGGUAUAUAUCCGCCAACAUGGAAAGACUCUUUCAUGGUGUUUAUUCCCAAACCCAGCUUGACUGAUUACAGGCCUAUUUUGCUAACUAGCUGUAUAGCGAAAAUCCUUGAAAAAAUGAUAUACAAUAGAUUUGAGUGGUUUUUGGAAAACCCCAAAGUCAUUCCCAAUUAUCAGUAUGGUUUUAGAAAAAAAAGAACACGCUAUAUUGUACAACGACGCUGCAACGACGCUAUAUUGUACAAUGAGAUGCAAGAGGCUAUACACACGAGCCGGGACCUUGGAGCGGUGUUUAUUGACGUCAGGGGAACAUUUGACAAUGUCUUGUCUGACGUCCUGAUCUUCAUACUCAGACAGGCUGGUGUGCCCGGCAAAAUAAUCACCUUGAGCAUAUGAUCACCGGUAGAAGGGUCGUUGGAUAUGUUGGCGGCCGAAACCUGGGCUUGAGGGUGGCCUCCAGGGGCGUUCCUCAGGGAUCUAUUCUCAGCCCUCUGCUCUUCAAUUUUUACAUAUCUGGUAUUCAUGGAAACUUGGGUGAGAAUGUGCAAAUUUUGGCAUACGCCGACGAUGUCGUACUCUACUCCAAGAAUAUGGUAUUGCCUCACUUGUUCCGAUCUCUGUCCGCAGGAUUGGACGUCCUGUCUGACAAUCUCGCUCAUUUGGUUCUAACUAUCGCCGCCCACAAAACCAAGGGGUCAUAUUUGACGCCAAUCUUAAUUGGAGGGAGCAUUUUAUGCAGAACAGGAAAAGAAUACAGGCAAGAAACAACAUUCUCAAGGCCGUCGCCGGGGUCGUCUGGGGCGCUCAUCCUCGGAACCUGCUUGUGGCCUAUAAGGCCCUUGUUCGAUCGUUCCUCGAUUACGGAUCCAUUAUAUUUCAGGAUGUACGACGAUCAUAUACGCCUAUAUUUGACAAACUACAAUAUGCUGCCCUGAAAGUUGUCCUCGGUUUAAUGUCAUCCAUUCCCGGUAACGUGGUCC
This is an RNA transcript of Odontomachus brunneus, 2145 nucleotides long. RefSeq lists it as uncharacterized. The transcript is spliced from 2 exons. The record is from RefSeq and is a predicted model, not a curated record. NCBI's taxonomy places the organism in Eukaryota, Metazoa, Arthropoda, Insecta, Hymenoptera, Formicidae.